GCCGGAAGGGAGAGCAGAGGCCUGAGAGACAACUGAGAGCUCAAGGACCAGGAGGCUGUGGUCAGAGUGUGAGUGGGCUGGUUUAGAGAUUCCCAGUUCUCGGUAUCUACCCGAAGGAGCUGAACACAGAUGCUCAAGCAGAAACCUGCACAGGGAUGUUUAUGGCAGCACUAGUCACAGCAGCCAAACGGUGGAAACAACCCACGUAUCUAUCAGCCGAUGAAUGGAUAAACAAAACGUAGGACAGCCAUCCAGAAGAAUGUUAUUCAGCCAUAACAAGGAAUGACGUUCUAACACACACAACAUGAUGAACCUGGAAAACACAUUUUACUAAAUGCAAGGCAGCCAUCCACGAGAGAACUGCAGAAGGAAACUGAGGAAGAAUGAAGGUAUACUUCUCAAGGUCACAUACCUAUUAAGAGCCUGGACCAGUGGGGUUUUUGUUGUUGUUGGUCUUGGUGUUUUCUUUUUAGGGUCACACC
This is a long non-coding RNA of Phacochoerus africanus (Common warthog), 482 nucleotides long. RefSeq lists it as uncharacterized. The transcript has 3 exons. Lineage: Eukaryota; Metazoa; Chordata; Mammalia; Artiodactyla; Suidae. The record is from RefSeq and is a predicted model, not a curated record.